Molecule: ribosomal RNA, 381 nt
Filed under: uncultured Halobacteria archaeon
Lineage: Archaea; Methanobacteriati; Methanobacteriota; Halobacteria
Description: bacterial SSU rRNA
Rfam family: Archaeal small subunit ribosomal RNA
Source: RNAcentral
UAACACCAGCGCCACGAGUGGGGACCGUUAUUACUGGGCCUAAAGCAUCCGUAGCCGGAUUAGUAAAUCCUUUGUGAAAUUAUAGGGCUUAACCUUAUAGCGUGCAGAGAAGACUGCUAAUCUUGAGACCGGGAGGAGUUAGAGGUAUGCGAGGGGUAGCGGUAAAAUGCUAUAAUCCCUUGUGGACCACCUGUGGCGAAGGCGUCUAACUAGAACGGGUCUGACGGUGAGGGAUGAAAGCUGGGGGAGCGAUCCGGAUUAGAUACCCGAGUAGUCCCAGCUGUAAACUCUGCGAGCCAGGUGUUGCACAUUCUACGGGAAUGUGCAGUGUCGAAGCGAAGGCGAUAAGCUCGCCGCCUGGGUAGUACGGUCGCAAGACUG